AAUGAACGCUGGCGGCGUGCUUAACACAUGCAAGUCGUGCGCGAAGGUGGCUUCGGCCACCGGAGAGCGGCGAACGGGUGAGUAACACGUGGGUAAUCUACCUGGGAGUGGGGAAUAACCUGGGGAAACUCGGGCUAAUUCCGCAUACGUUGGCAGGGUUAUGGCCUUGCCUGGAAAGCUGGCCUCUACUUGUAAGCUAGCGCUCCCAGAGGAGCCCGCGGCUGAUUAGCUAG
This 233-nucleotide ribosomal RNA is filed under the name uncultured bacterium. RNAcentral's name for it is "partial 16S ribosomal RNA". It matches the Rfam family "Bacterial small subunit ribosomal RNA", at positions 29 to 248 of the family's 1533-position model. The record is from RNAcentral.